ACACCGGCCGCUCAAGUGGUAGCCGCUUUUAUUGGGCCUAAAGCGUCCGUAGCCGGUCUGAUAAGUCUCUGGUGAAAUCCCACAGCUUAACUGUGGGAAUUGCUGGAGAUACUAUCAUGACUCGAGGUCGGGAGAGGCUGGAGGAACUCUCAGGGUAGGGGUGAAAUCCUGUAAUCCUGUGAGGACCACCUGUGGCGAAGGCGGCGAUCUGGAACGAUCCGGACGGUGAGGAACGAAAGACAGGGGCGCGAACCGGAUUGGAUACCCGGGUAGUCCUGGCCGUAAACGAUGGGGACUUGGUGUUGGGAUGGCUUCGAGCUGCCCCAGUGCGGAAGGGAAGCUGUUAAGUCCACCGCCUGGGAAGUACGGCCGCAAGGCUGAAACUCAAAUGAAUUGGCGGGG
RNAcentral lists this ribosomal RNA (402 nucleotides) under uncultured bacterium. Its description in RNAcentral is "partial 16S ribosomal RNA". It matches the Rfam family "Archaeal small subunit ribosomal RNA", at positions 473 to 873 of the family's 1478-position model. The record is from RNAcentral.